GUGUACGGUCAUAGCGGAGGAGUUUACCCGGUCCCAUCUCGAACCCGGAAGUCAAGCCCUCCUGCGUCUGUUACGGUACUGUGGUGCGAGAGCCCACGGGAAAUAUAGUCACUGUACCCC
This 120-nucleotide ribosomal RNA is filed under the name Methanobacteriota archaeon. The record is from RNAcentral. Lineage: Archaea; Methanobacteriati; Methanobacteriota.